UGUGUAUAAACGAAGCGACUCGUUCAGAAGUGUGCGUCUGGUCUGUGGUUCACCUGAAGGUUUUAUGCUGCGAGCCGAGGUGAAGAACAACAGCAGAGAUGAAGAAGAAGAUUAUUAUCCUGGCUUUUUCUGUUUGGUCAUGUCAGGCGGUGAUGGGUCAGUCAUCGUGUACUGCACCAGUUGUUCCAAACGCUAAGCCGAAAAAUGAGCUGGCAGCAUCCUAUCCCACUGGAAGCUUUAUCAGAUAUGUAUGUGACAGUGGCUAUGAGUUUGUAGAAACACAUUAUGCGCUGUGUGAAGAUGGAACUUGGAAUCUGCCCGUUUGUAAACUUCAGACAUCAUGUACUGUCCCAUUUGUGCCGAACGCCGAGCUCGCAGACGAGUUUACAGCGGCGCUCUAUCCUACUGGAAGCUCCGUCCGGUUUGUAUGUGACCGCGGCUCCGAGUUCGAAGGAACCAAAUAUGCACUGUGCAAAGAUGGGACUUGGAAGCUGCCGGUGUGUAAAAUUCUGGAUCAUGCACGGUGUGCUUCCCCACGCGUUCCGAACGCGCGACCUGCAGAUGCGUUAGCAAAAUCCUAUCCAUCUGGAAGCUUGGUUAGAUUCGGAUGCGACCGCGGCUACGGGUUCGAAGGGACGGAUUCUGCACAGUGUGAAGAAGGAGUCUGGACGCUGCCAGUGUGUAAAGACGUUCCAUUUUUAGUUCUAGAUCAAGCACCGUGUAGUGCUGCCCCGCGUGUUCCGAAUGCCAGACCUGCGGACGCGUUAGCAGAAUCCUAUCCAUCUGGAAGCUCUGUCCGAUUCGGAUGUGACGGCGGCUACGAGUUCGAAGGGACGGAUUCUGCACAGUGUGAAGAUGGAGUCUGGACGCUGCCGGUGUGUAAAGAUGUAAAAUCCUGUCUUGCCCCGAGUGUGCCGAAUGGCCAGCCUGCAAAUGCGUUAAAAACGUUGUACGGUCCUGGAGAAACUCUUCGAUUUGUAUGCGACAGCGGUUAUGAAUUUGAAGGAACACGUUACGCGGUUUGUGACGAUGGAUCUUGGAGGCUGCCGGUGUGUAAAGUUCUAGAUGCGGCGUGCGCUGCCCCACACGUGCCAAACGCCAAACCUGAAAACGAGUUAGCAGCGUCCUAUCCUGCAGGAAGCACUGUAAGAUUUGGAUGUGACGGCGGCUACGAGAUUGAAGGAACACGAUAUGCGCUUUGUGAAGAUGGAACUUGGAGGCUGCCGGUGUGUACGCUUCCAUGUACACUGGAUAGGACACGUUUUACUUCUAGUCAAGCUGACGAAGGAGGGCGAAGAGAAGACGUUUUAGGCUAGUAGAAUCACGUAAGAAAAGAACCGUCAGCUGCUUAAAUGGAAGAAUUAUUUAUUUCGAACGUCACUUAAUGAGCAGUGUAAGUACUACACUGGAUCGACAGCUAAAUCUGGAGAAAAAAACCAUACAUCUUCAGAGCUCCUACUUCUGAUCAGAAAUCUUACUCCUGCUCCCUUUUGAACACACAUAUACAUAUAUACACACACACACACACAUAUAUAUACAUAUACACACAUUAUAUAUAUAUAUUUCAAAAUCUGCUAAGAAGAAACAGCCAUUCAGCCUGGCUAAACCCGUUUAAUCCCAGACGUUUAAAGCCUGCCAGGCUAAACCCGUUUAAUCCCAGACUUAUUUUUCAGCUGUUAGCAUUUAGCAAAUAGGCAUUUACACAUUUCGAGAGCGAUGGAAUGUAAAUCCAGAGUGCUCGAGAGUUUCAAUGAAAAAUCAAUUCUAGCAUGAACUUGGAUUGGUGGAUUGUUACCUAAAGAAAGGGGAAAAAAACGAAUCUGAAACAAUAAAGUUUACUCUGAAACCGA
Molecule: RNA transcript, 1850 nt
Organism: Ictalurus punctatus (channel catfish)
Lineage: Eukaryota; Metazoa; Chordata; Actinopteri; Siluriformes; Ictaluridae
Gene name: coagulation factor XIII B chain
Exons: 10
Source: RefSeq, a predicted model, not a curated record